AUGAGUUAGGGUCUUAUAGGCCCGAUCUCCAACCCUUUGUAUAACUACCAUGUUGCUUUGACGGGCCCGUCUUCGGACCGUUGGAGGUCGUUUGACCUCUGGCCCGUGCCCGUCAGUAGCCCACUACAAAUUCUUUUAUCAGUGACGUCUGAGUACUAUAUAAUAGUUA
This 169-nucleotide unclassified non-coding RNA is filed under the name uncultured Herpotrichiellaceae. Its description in RNAcentral is "sequence contains ITS1". The record is from RNAcentral. Lineage: Eukaryota; Fungi; Ascomycota; Eurotiomycetes; Chaetothyriales; Herpotrichiellaceae.